RNAcentral lists this small RNA (770 nucleotides) under Schizosaccharomyces pombe (fission yeast). RNAcentral describes it as "small heterochromatic RNA precursor". The record is from RNAcentral. Lineage: Eukaryota; Fungi; Ascomycota; Schizosaccharomycetes; Schizosaccharomycetales; Schizosaccharomycetaceae.
GGUCCAUAUCAAUGUCCAUAUCAAUUUCCCAUGUUCCAUUACAUAUCCCGUGUUCUUUCCUUCUUCCAGCUUUUACAUGCUAGCCUUUUAUACAAUGAUUCCUCUCAUCUCGACUCGUUUGAUGAAUGGGCGUUUAGUUUUUGCAACAACAUAUGCGUUGGGUUAUCUCAUAUCGGGAAACACUUUCUGCCACUUUUAACUUGAACAAAGUUGGAGAAAUAAAGUGAUGGCAGAUAUUGCAAGUUGUUUAUAGUGUGCCUGUAGAAAUGUAAAAACGCUAUGUUUCGUGAAUGCCCAGCCUGUAAAUCGAAAUAAGAUUUCGUAUUUAUUAAGCAUUGGAAGAUCACAAUUGUGACUUUGUGGGUUUCGUAAAGAACAUCAUAUAGAUUUCUUUGACCAAGUGUAAUAAAGCAAAACACACGGACAUAGUAUGGAUAUGGACACAGCAUGGGUAUGGACACAAGCAACACUACCAGUCGUUUGAAACGAUGAAAUGGGCAACAAGUCGAUUUGUUUUUCAUCUAUCAAUCGUUGUAAUUCACAUGCAGCUACAAGACGACACGUUAUAUUUAGGGUGCAAAGCAGGUAGAGAUUUCAUAGGCAUAUUUUCGAAGUACCAGCUUUAUGCCAAAACAUGCAUGCAUGCAAGAAACUCCAUAACUUCGUUUGCGCAACUCCUGCUUAUCGUCUUCUUUCUAUACCCAUACUGNUGGAUCNANUGAAUGAACGUAGCAAAUAGAUACCAGAUAUAGCGCCACCCUUUUGAGCAA